GUUACGUGGUAAUCAUCAAAAGGUAAGAGUUGGGGAUUUAAAAGAAAAAGUCUUCUAGCAACGGGGUCUUAAAGAUCUAUGUAACUCUGGACCGAGCUUUAUCAAAAGAACGAGCGACGAACGUCGAGAGAUCCUCGCUCCCUUUUUCCGAUCAGAUCUCCGGGUUCAUUUCCCGUUUAAGGCAAACAAACAGGCCCUAAGUUGAAAGAAAGUUUUAUUACAAAGGCAAUAUGCUGGAUAUACUGAUCAGAAGCAGGAGAUUUGAUUGCAUUUAUCUUAUUAGUGGUAGAAAGAUCGAUUGAGUAUUCCAGGUAACUGAUUCAUAUGUAUACUUGUGUAUGCGCCCCAUUAGGAAGAAAUCUCUGGGCCCAUCCCUGAUUAGUGCUGAUGGACGUGUUUAUCUUGAUGCCAGAGGUCAAGUUUCACAUGUAUAUUGUCUAUGACGAUGAUGUGAAGCACGGCUAUAUGAGGUUGCCAACAAGCAAAAUAAUUAUCAAUAAUUAAUUAUAUUAUAACGUAUCAUUUGUCCAAUAAAGGAGUUUGUGGAUUAA
Long non-coding RNA from Asparagus officinalis (garden asparagus), 551 nucleotides. RefSeq lists it as uncharacterized. The transcript is spliced from 4 exons. The record is from RefSeq and is a predicted model, not a curated record. NCBI's taxonomy places the organism in Eukaryota, Viridiplantae, Streptophyta, Magnoliopsida, Asparagales, Asparagaceae.